This 253-nucleotide ribosomal RNA is filed under the name uncultured bacterium. RNAcentral describes it as "partial 16S ribosomal RNA". It matches the Rfam family "Bacterial small subunit ribosomal RNA", at positions 524 to 776 of the family's 1533-position model. The record is from RNAcentral.
UACGUAGGUGGCAAGCGUUGUCCGGAUUUACUGGGCGUAAAGAGCGCGCAGGCGGUCGUUCAAGUCGCGUGUGAAAGCCCCCGGCUCAACUGGGGAGGGUCACGCGAUACUGAUCGACUCGAAGGCAGGAGAGGGAAGUGGAAUUCCCGGUGUAGUGGUGAAAUGCGUAGAUAUCGGGAGGAACACCAGUGGCGAAGGCGGCCAGCUGGGCCAGGUCCGACACUGAGGCGCGAAAGCGUGGGGAGCAAACAGG